This 1687-nucleotide long non-coding RNA is filed under the name Olea europaea (common olive). RNAcentral's name for it is "long non-coding RNA (OEUR_LNC000204)". The record is from RNAcentral. Lineage: Eukaryota; Viridiplantae; Streptophyta; Magnoliopsida; Lamiales; Oleaceae.
AAAAAAAAAAAAUGUGCAAUAAUUUGCAAAACGUGAAGAUGAGGUUCGUCUGAUGUAAUGUGUUUAAUAGUAAAUAGUUUCUUUAUAAGAGUCAAAUUACCAUCGUCAAAAUACAAAGUAAAUUAUAAUUUUCUAUUGUUGCCAAUAACAUCAAAGGCUAAAGAAUUGCUAAACCUAUAGUAAUUUAAUGAAGAAUAAUCUCAAUCCUUCUUUCAUAUAAUACCGAAUAUUGUAUCACAACGACCUUUUUAUUGAAUUUUUUAAAGUUUGACAAGAAAUUGAAUAAAUUAUAUUCGUUUGAAGAAGAUGAUAAUGAGCUAUCCAUUACAUAAAUUACGUGGUGCAAUAAUGCAACAACAAAUAUAGAAGUAGAGAUUAUAUGGUGAAAAGCUUUUUUCGAAGAAUAAUGUUAUCUCGUAUAGCUGGUGUUAUAACACCAAUUUAGAAGAUGUUAUGUGAUAGGAAAUAUGAAAUUAACCAACUCAUUUGAUUGUAUUUCUCAUUUAAUGUCACUGCAGUUCCACCUAAAUUAUUAUUUUAACACUAAUGAUGCUAAAUAACAUUAUUCUUUUUUUGAAUGGUAUAAUAUCAAACAAAUUAUGAAAUAAAAAGAAAAAAAUUAAAAUUUAAGAAGAGUGAUGAGAGCAUAUGCUAAUCAUAAUGAAAGAUUUAGAGAAUGAAUGCAAAACUUGUGUGAAAAUUAAAGGCAAUGUCAUUUCUUUUCUUAUGGAUAAAUAAAAAUGAAGCAAGGUGCAGGGAUGGGCGAGCCUACUAGCUCUCAAGCUCGCGCGCGAGCCAACUCGUGCUUGCCUCGAGCAUGAGCAUAGCCACUUCAACUCCUUUGUAGGGUGAGGGCAGCUCUUUCCAUGCCUUGUUGAGGGAUUUUAGGGAGGCAGAGGGUUUAGAAGGAUGGAUUUAACGAUUUCUAUUUCUCGCAAUAAUUUGCUUAUAUUUAUAUUAUGUUUAAAAUACAAUUUAAAUUCAUAAAAAAAUAACAUAAAGAAUAAGAGUCGAGACAAAAGUCAUGUUCUCCAUUCUCACCUUGAUUCCCAAUGGGGUGGGAAUGGAAAGGUGGUUUUGCCAUCACUAGACGAGAAUUAUUGUAACCUAUGGUGUUAAAAUGCUUAAAGCAAUAAUAUCUUAUACAAUUUUUUCUCUUUCAUAAUGACUUAAUAGUAUGAGAAUUUUCUUAACACAAUAUGCUAUGGAAGGACAAAAAAGGUUAAAAAGGGGAGACCAAUUGAAAAAAUAAAUCAAUGCUUGAAAGAUUCAUAUUUUAUCCAAUUUCUUCAUUUAUAAAGUGUAACCAGUGUAUAUAACUUGACAAGUUAAUAAUACAGGUAUCGAUUAGAAAACCAAAUUCAUAUAAGACGAGGUUUCAAGGUUAUGCCCUGCGAGGUCAAUCAUCAUACAUUGACAACUAGAAAAAGCGAACUUGUUUCAUUAGAGAGUCAUGCUUAAGAAAUUAAAAGUCAAGCUAAGCACAAAAUGAAGCACCUUAAGUUUCCUAGCCACCAAAGAUAAGGUUGAGUAAAUAGAAUGACAUUUGGGGAAGGAGUAAAAGUCAUGUGGGAACCUGGGAACCAACAAGGGCACAUCCUGCGAUUUACCUCCCUGAACAGCUGAGGGGCCGGAGGUUCAGGGACGAGGAUAUAGUCUAGCGCAAGUUGGACACCUCGUUAAAAAA